GCGGGUGCUAUACAUGCAGUCGAGCGGACAGAUGGGAGCUUGCUCCCUGAUGUUAGCGGCGGACGGGUGAGUAACACGUGGGUAACCUGCCUGUAAGACUGGGAUAACUCCGGGAAACCGGGGCUAAUACCGGAUGGUUGUUUGAACCGCAUGGUUCAAACAUAAAAGGUGGCUUCGGCUACCACUUACAGAUGGACCCGCGGCGCAUUAGCUAGUUGGUGAGGUAACGGCUCACCAAGGCAACGAUGCGUAGCCGACCUGAGAGGGUGAUCGGCCACACUGGGACUGAGACACGGCCCAGACUCCUACGGGAGGCAGCAGUAGGGAAUCUUCCGCAAUGGACGAAAGUCUGACGGAGCAACGCCGCGUGAGUGAUGAAGGUUUUCGGAUCGUAAAGCUCUGUUGUUAGGGAAGAACAAGUACCGUUCGAAUAGGGCGGUACCUUGACGGUACCUAACCAGAAAGCCACGGCUAACUACGUGCCAGCAGCCGCGGUAAUACGUAGGUGGCAAGCGUUGUCCGGAAUUAUUGGGCGUAAAGGGCUCGCAGGCGGUUUCUUAAGUCUGAUGUGAAAGCCCCCGGCUCAACCGGGGAGGGUCAUUGGAAACUGGGGAACUUGAGUGCAGAAGAGGAGAGUGGAAUUCCACGUGUAGCGGUGAAAUGCGUAGAGAUGUGGAGGAACACCAGUGGCGAAGGCGACUCUCUGGUCUGUAACUGACGCUGAGGAGCGAAAGCGUGGGGAGCGAACAGGAUUAGAUACCCUGGUAGUCCACGCCGUAAACGAUGAGUGCUAAGUGUUAGGGGGUUUCCGCCCCUUAGUGCUGCAGCUAACGCAUUAAGCACUCCGCCUGGGGAGUACGGUCGCAAGACUGAA
Molecule: ribosomal RNA, 874 nt
Filed under: Bacillus subtilis
Lineage: Bacteria; Bacillati; Bacillota; Bacilli; Caryophanales; Bacillaceae
Description: bacterial SSU rRNA
Rfam family: Bacterial small subunit ribosomal RNA
Source: RNAcentral